RNAcentral lists this ribosomal RNA (393 nucleotides) under uncultured bacterium. RNAcentral's name for it is "partial 16S ribosomal RNA". It matches the Rfam family "Bacterial small subunit ribosomal RNA", at positions 523 to 918 of the family's 1533-position model. The record is from RNAcentral.
CUACGGAGGAUGCAAGCGUUAUCCGGAUUUAUUGGGUUUAAAGGGUGCGUAGGCGGUUUGCUGAGCGGGAGGUGAAAUGCCGGCGCUCAACGUCGGAAGUGCCUCCCGAACUGGUGGACUGGAAUGACUCUGCCGUGGGAGGAAUGUGUAGUGUAGCGGUGAAAUGCUUAGAGAUUACACAGAACACCGAUUGCGAAGGCAUCUCACGAAGGGUUGAUUGACGCUGAGGCACGAAAGUGUGGGGAUCAAACAGGAUUAGAUACCCUGGUAGUCCACGCAGUAAACGAUGAUGGCUAACCGCUGGGCUUAUCAGUUCAGUGGCCAAGCGAAAGCGAUAAGCCAUCCACCUGGGGAGUACGACCGCAAGGUUGAAACUCAAAUGAAUUGGCGGGG